Molecule: unclassified non-coding RNA, 167 nt
Organism: Chlorocebus sabaeus (green monkey)
Lineage: Eukaryota; Metazoa; Chordata; Mammalia; Primates; Cercopithecidae
Rfam family: Y RNA
About the family: Y RNAs are components of the Ro ribonucleoprotein particle (Ro RNP), in association with Ro60 and La proteins. The Y RNAs and Ro60 and La proteins are well conserved, but the function of the Ro RNP is not known. In humans the RNA component can be one of four small RNAs -- hY1, hY3, hY4 and hY5.
Source: Ensembl
GGCCUCCCAAAAUGCUGGGGUUACAGGCAUGAACCACCAAAUCUGGCCACAUGUUAGGUUUUAAAUCUACAAGAAUAGAAUAGUUUUACCAAUAAAAAACCUUUGUCAUAUAAAAUUGUGUGAUUGUAUUUUUCUCCACUCCCACUGCUUCACUUGAGGAGCCUUUA